RNAcentral lists this ribosomal RNA (500 nucleotides) under uncultured bacterium. RNAcentral describes it as "partial 16S ribosomal RNA". It matches the Rfam family "Bacterial small subunit ribosomal RNA", at positions 30 to 523 of the family's 1533-position model. The record is from RNAcentral.
AUUGAACGCCGGCGGCAUGCCUUACACAUGCAAGUCGAACGGCAGCGCGGACUUCGGUCUGGCGGCGAGUGGCGAACGGGUGAGUAAUACAUCGGAACGUACCCUGUUGUGGGGGAUAACUAGUCGAAAGAUUAGCUAAUACCGCAUACGACCUGAGGGUGAAAGUGGGGGACCGCAAGGCCUCACGCAGCAGGAGCGGCCGAUGUCUGAUUAGCUAGUUGGUGGGGUAAAGGCCCACCAAGGCUACGAUCAGUAGCUGGUCUGUGAGGACGAUCAGCCAAACUGGGACUGGAACACGGCCCAGACGCCUACGGGAGGCAGCAGUGGGGAAUUUUGGACAAUGGGGGCAACCCUGAUCCAGCAAUGCCGCGUGUGUGAAGAAGGCCUUCGGGUUGUAAAGCACUUUUGUCCGGAAAGAAAUCGCGCUGGUUAAUACCUGGCGUGGAUGACGGUACCGGAAGAAUAAGCACCGGCUAACUACGUGCCAGCAGCCGCCGUAA